Oncorhynchus tshawytscha (Chinook salmon) is the source of this 3272-nucleotide long non-coding RNA. Lineage: Eukaryota; Metazoa; Chordata; Actinopteri; Salmoniformes; Salmonidae. The record is from Ensembl.
GCUGAAUACACCCCCAUGUUGCUGGCUGCUAGCAGUCUUUGCUUAAUUUUCGUUUGUUUGAACUUUUUUCUAUUGACAUUUAUUAGCAUAUCCUAUCCUAGGACCUAUGUGAUGUGUAACUUCGCUUGAUUCUGUUGGACGUCAGUGCUCUGCCCAGCUACAAAAUAGCUUGCAAACUCGCUAGUUAGUUUGUAGUUUUAUUUGCUAGCUAGCUAGUUAGCUAACGUUUCCCUGUACUGAAGUUAGAGCCCCUUGCCAAAUUUCAAAAGGGAUGAAAUGCCAGGCUCACUGUGUAUACAGUGUCAGACACAAACCACUGUGUUUAGUAAGACCUGCAACAGUUGUUUCUUUAACCAUCCAAAAGAGAUGAUGUUACAAGCGUUGAAGAAGUAUGAUUACAAAUGGGAACACAAUGAUUGCACCCAUUAUAAUAAUAGCUCUCAGAUAUUGACUUCCACUAAAGUAUUGCUCUACAAAUUACAUACUCUGGGAUUUGUUCCCCUUCUCCUGCUUGGAAAAAGGAGAAAUGGAACAAAACAUAUCGAUAUGGAUUCCUUUUGCCCUCACCCUCAAGUCAUAAAAGAAACAGGCUCUAUUGAAACCUUGAGAAAUAUUUAUUUAGGUCUUCUGAAUGUCACACUCGGCACCGAGUCCCAAUGCCAGUGCUCCCCAGUGUCUUCAGAGCCAGACGGGACCCCCGCACCAGCCAAGGUAGAGGGAGCCCCUACAACAAUCGAUCCCGUGGAAACCCCUGCACCAACAGAGCUACACAGAAUACCCAUAUCCAUCCGACUGAACAUAAUACCCACACCAACAGAGACGUGCAAACACAACACACUAAUCAAUCCAGUGGAAACCCCAGCACCAACCAUGCGAGACGGAAUCCCCAUAUCUUUACGACGGAACCUAAUCCCCACACCAACAGAGCCAGGCAAACCAUCCACACCAACCAAUCCAGUGGGAAUCCCUAAACCAACCAAUCUAGUUGGAACUCCUACAGCAAUUGAUCCAUCAGGAACCCCUGCACCAACUAUGCUAGACAGAAUCCCCACAUCCAUCAGCCUGAACAAAAUCACCACACUAACAGAGCCAGGCAAACACUCCACAUCAACCAAUCCUGUGGGAACCCCUUCACCAAUUAAUUCAGUGGGGACCCCUGCACCAGCCGAGCUUGAUGGACUCCCCACACCAACAGACCCAGGAAAACCCUCCACAUCAACCAAGCUAGACGGAAUCCCCACAUACAUCUGCCUGAAUGGAAUCCCCACAUCCAUCUGCAUGAACGGAACCCCCACCUCAAUACAGUCCAAAAUCCCCAGACCAAUACAACCUAAAAUUCCCCACACCAAUACAGCCAGGCAAACCCUCCACACAAAAUAAUCCAGUGGGAACCUCUAUACCAAUUGAUGAAACAUCUGACUCCUCUGAGCACCAGGACCAAGAAAUGCAAAGAAAAAUGUGGACAGAUGGAGAUCUAAUCGUUGCUGAAGACGGUGCAACCAUUCAAGCACAAAAGAAAAUCAAAACAACAGAAGAGUCGCUGAACAUGGAUACGGAUAGGCCCAUGGUGUCAAGACAUGCAGAGGUAGACACUGAAGUAUUAGAUCAAUUAGAAAAGAGCAGCAUUGUACAAGCAACCAACAAGCAAACUUUGUGGGCUAUAAACUGCUUUAAGGACUGGCUGGCAGAGAAACGGAUGAUAGUGGAUUUUUCAACCAUUGAGAAAUCUGAAAUGAAUGUACUCUUGUGAGAUUUUUACUGUUCUGUUCAAAGGGGUAAAGGUGGGGAGUAUUGCAUCCCAAGCUAUAUCGGAAUCCGGGCUGGCGUGAACAGAUUCAUUAACCUCCCUCCCCUUAGCAGAUCCUGGUGCUUGAUGAAGGACAGUGAAGAAACUAAAGAAACUCAGACGAGAGGGCAGGGACAAAACUACCCAUCCAAAGGUGAUUACAGCACAAGACCUUGAGAUUCUUCAAAACUCUACUGUGCUAAGCCCCUACACACCCAGAGGACUAGUGAACCAAGUGUGGUUUGAUAUCCAGUUACACUUUGGCCCCAGAGGAAAAGAGGGCAAUAGACGGCUAACGCCACAGUCGUUUGUAAUAAGGUACGAUGAAAACGGAGCAAAAUAUGCAACGCUGACUUCCAAAGAAGAAAGACUGAACCACAAAGAUGCAGAACUGGCAGAAUCGCUGUGGAAUCAUGUUUCAGAACCCUGAUAGUCCACUCUGUCCAGUCGCCUCCUUGGAGAAGUAUCUGAGCAAGAUCCCGCCAGAUGCCACCGUCCUCUACCUCCAUCCUAUUAAGAUGGUCAUCACCAGUGACAGCAUGUGCUAUAGCCAGGAGCCAAUGGGGUUUAACUACCUUUCAUCAAUGCUUCCCCCGACUGUGCCAGGAGGCUGGUACAUUGGAAAAGUACACAAACAAUUGCUUCCGAACUUUGCGCGAGAUCAUGUCUGUCAGCAGACUGAUAGUUCCUUGAAGAGUGUCGUAGCUGAAUCAGAAUGAGUUAGGUAACAUAGAUAAAUAAGAUGUUUUAAUUAUUUUAUACUUGUCAUUAGAAUGUCUUCUUUUGGACUAUACUGUUGGCAGUUGCAUUUUCCUCUCUUCUCUAGGGAAAAGUCACUUGGGGCCCAGAGAGGGGAGAGGUCAGGCUUGUCUUUUACAUGUCUGGUAAUAGGCAGAAUAUCAGAAAGGGAAAAGUCAGGUUUAAACAUUGUCUUCAUAAUGAAUAUAUCUGUUAAACCAUGUGAAGGGCUCCACCAUGUCUGUACUCCAGUCACUCCCUCCUUUUUCCAUUGGGGGGAGGAGUAUGGUAAUGUCUGGAACCAUUGUAUGUCCCUCUGUUGCCCUUAUCUUGAUUUAGUAUAUGACCUAGAGGCUCACUACCCUCCGGGAGUUUGUCCAGGAGGGGUGUAUUUGAGAUGGGAGUAUCUAGAACUGACAAUUGAUAUAUGCCAUUGGAUGAGGUAAUGUUUUGGUAAUAUGAAGUUUUUUUAUUUAUUUUUAUUUCACCUUUAUUUAACCAGGUAGGCUAGUUGAGAACAAGUUCUCAUUUGCAACUGCGACCUGGCCAAGAUAAAGCAUAGCAGUGUGAACAGACAACACAGAGUUACACAUGGAGUAAACAAUUAACAAGUCAAUAACACAGUAGAAAAAAAAGGGGAGUCUAUAUACAUUGUGUGCAAAAGGCAUGAGGAGGUAGGCAAAUAAUUACAAUUUUGCAGAUUAAUAACACUGGAGUGAUAAAUGAUCAGAUGGUCAUGUACAGGUAG